AAGACUGUACUUUCAGGGAUCAUUUCUGUAGGUCAUUAUAUGUCCAUUGGAAAACAGGCACCUUAUACAUUACUGGUAGAUGUGCAGAAUGGUACUUUCCCUAUGGAGGAAAAUAUCCUGAAGA
Molecule: small nucleolar RNA, 124 nt
Filed under: Tursiops truncatus (common bottlenose dolphin)
Lineage: Eukaryota; Metazoa; Chordata; Mammalia; Artiodactyla; Delphinidae
Description: Small nucleolar RNA U3 (ENSTTRG00000025245.1)
Source: RNAcentral